Molecule: long non-coding RNA, 1316 nt
Organism: Mytilus californianus (California mussel)
Lineage: Eukaryota; Metazoa; Mollusca; Bivalvia; Mytilida; Mytilidae
Exons: 2
Source: RefSeq, a predicted model, not a curated record
AACAAUUUUACUUCACUUCAGAUUUGCUUUAAAUGAUUUGGUUUUUGAGUUAAAAGCCAAAAACUGAAUUUUACCCCUAUGUUCUAUUUUUAGCCGUGGCGGCCAUCUUGGUUGGUUGACCAGGUCACGCCACACAUUUUUAAAACUAGAUAACCAAAUGAUGAUUGUGGCCAAGUUUGGUUUAAUUUGGCCACGGAGUUUCAGAGGAGAAGAUUUUUGUAAAAGAUUACUAAGAUUUACGAAAAAUUGUUAAAAAUUGACUAUAAAGGGCAAUAACUCCUAAAGGGGUCAACUGACCAUUUCAGUCAUGUUGACUUAUUUGUUAAUCUUACUUUGCUGAACAUUAUUGCUGUUUACAGUUUAUCUCUAUCUAUAAUAAUAUUCAAGAUAAUAACCAAAAACAGCAAAAUUUCCUUAAAAUUACCAAUUCAGGGGCAGCAACCCAACAACAGGUUGUUCAAUUCAUCUGAAAAUUUCAGGGCAGAUAGAUCUUGACCUGAUAAACAAUUUUACUUCAUGUCAGAUUUGCUCUAAAUGCUUUGGUUUUUGAGUUAUAAGCCAAAAACUGCAUUUUACCCCUAUGUUUUAUUUUUAGCUGUGGCGGCCAUCUUGGUUGGUUGGCCGGGUCACGCCACACAUUUUUUAAACAAGAUACCCCAAUGAUGAUUGUGGCCAAGUUUGGUUUAAUUUUGCCCAGUUGUUUCAGAGGAGAAGAUUUUUGUAAAAGAUUACUAAGAUUUACGGAAAAUGGUUAAAAAUUGACUAUAAAGGGCAAUUACUCCUAAAGGGGUCAACUGACCAUUUCGGUUAUAUUGACUUAUUUGUAAAUCUUACUUUGCUGAACAUUAUUGCUGUUUACAGUUUAUCUCUAUCUAUAAUAAUAUUCAAGAUAAUAACCAAAAACAGCAAAAUUUCCUUAAAAUUACCAAUUCAGGGGCAGCAACCCAAUAACGGGUUGUCCGAUUCAUCUGAAAAUUUCAGGGCAGAUAGAUCUUGACCUGAUGAACAAUUUUACCCCAUGUCAGAUUUGCUCUUAAUGCUUUGGUUUUUGAGUUAUAAGCUAAAAACUGCAUUUUACCCCUAUGUUCUAUUUUUAGCCGUGGCGGCCAUCUUGGUUGGUUGGUUGACCGGGUCACGCCACACAUUUUUAAAACUAGAUACCCCAAUGAUGAUUGUGGCCAAGUUUGGUUAAAUUUGGCCCAGUAGUUUCAGAGGAGAAGAUUUUUGUAAAAGUUUACGGACGACGGACGACGGACGCAAAGUGAUGAGAAAAGCUCACUUGACCUUUCAGGUCAGGUGAGCUAAAAAGAACUAAA